RNAcentral lists this long non-coding RNA (1351 nucleotides) under Anthonomus grandis grandis. RNAcentral's name for it is "uncharacterized LOC126738685". The record is from RNAcentral. Lineage: Eukaryota; Metazoa; Arthropoda; Insecta; Coleoptera; Curculionidae.
GACGCCACUAAAAAGCACCCGAUUCCCGGCGGUGAUCGUGUAUGUUCGGAGAAAAAUUCGGUCGUUUGACGUGAAUGACAAGAAUAACGACACGAAUGUUCCCGCGUUUGUUAGUUGUUUACUUACGUAAAAAAGCUCCAACUAAUUUGAUCAAUUAUUGCGAUUAUACUGAAUUUGUUUCUUUGUGAAAUAUUGACCAUAUUGUUGCUUAUAGUGUUUUAAAAUAAUACCUGAAAAGCUGUAUCAAUUCCAAUUUAGCGAUUUUAGCUGUAAAGAUGGACGGCCCUACUCAAAACUAUCAGAAUCAGGACCAAAUUAUCAACAAAAAUUUGUGCCACUUAUGCAGUAAAAUGUUUUCUUCCAUUUCAGCAUUGAACAAACAUAUUAAAGUUAUUCAUAAGCAGCAGCUCCCAGAUAACCCAAAGUCACACAUUUCUUGUCCCUAAUGCAAAGAGACUAAGUAUUCUUGCGAGACUUAUUAAAGACUUGAAGCUCAUUUACAGGUUAAGUCAUGAUAUCAAAAUAGAGUCCUCAACUUUCCAUUUUUCCAGUGAAGAAACAUUUGAGGAAUGGUUAAGAGAGCAUAGAAUAAGCACAAACUAUGCACUUGUUCGCACAAGGAAAAUUGAAGACAAGAUUAAAAAAGUAUAUUGUUGCAAUCGAAGUGAUCUUAGAGGUAAUUUGUAGCAAUUUCAAUUGUUCAUUAUGGUAUGUGAGCAAAGGAAGGGAAGCGAUUCUGUUUUAGGUGAACUCCUCGGGCAAUGUUCUUUCAAUAAUAUUGAAGCUAGCCAUAGUCUAGAAGUUGAAACAUUUGUUAAUGAAAAGACAACUAAAAAUCAACAAGUAGCAGUACAACGAUUGAACAAGCAAUCAACAAGAGAAAUUGAAAGUGUAUCAAACUUUUUAAGAUCUUUAAAUGAUGAAACUUAUGAUAAGUGCAUGAGACAACUGACAUCAAUGAUGGAACAGAUAAAUAAUACAAAUACACAAGUAAACGAAAAAUGGACAAACAGGUUUAUUUUCCAUCAAAGAAGAAGAAGGAGCAGUAAAUAAAAAUAAUUAAAUGUAUAUUUUUUCUAUUUAUCAGUAUUUUUUUUUAUAUAAUAGUAGGUAUAUUUUUAUAGGUUUAACUAUAUAUGUAUGUAUAUGUGUAUUAUAAUUUUUUAUGUAAGUUUUAGGCAAAUAUUUGAAGUAAAUAUUUUAAGUUUCUUGCAGUUUCUUCUUAUGAGUAUUAAUCGAAACUGCGAAUUGUAAAUUAGUAUUUUAGCAUAAAAUAAUUAAGUUUCUUUUCAAAUCAGUCAUAAACAUGUCUUUGCAGCAUUUAUAAAAUAAAAAUUGUUAAUAUAUGAUA